GGCCCUUUACUCUCAAGUGGUUAGAGAAUCCGACUCAUAAUCGGUAGGCUCUGAGUUCGAAUCUCAGAAGGGCCA
The sequence is a transfer RNA, 75 nucleotides long. It matches the Rfam family "tRNA". Rfam says of the family: Transfer RNA (tRNA) molecules are approximately 80 nucleotides in length. Their secondary structure includes four short double-helical elements and three loops (D, anti-codon, and T loops). The record is from Rfam.